UACGUAGGGGGCAAGCGUUGUCCGGAAUCAUUGGGCGUAAAGCGCGUGUAGGCGGCCCGAUAAGUCCGCUGUGAAAGUCCAGGGCUCAACCCUGGGAUGCCGGUGGAUACUGUCGGGCUCGAGUCCGGAAGAGGCGAGUGGAAUUCCUGGUGUAGCGGUGAAAUGCGCAGAUAUCAGGAAGAACACCUAUGGCGAAGGCAGCUCUCUGGGACGGUACUGACGCUGAGACGCGAAAGCGUGGGGAGCGAACAGG
Molecule: ribosomal RNA, 253 nt
Filed under: uncultured bacterium
Lineage: Bacteria
Description: partial 16S ribosomal RNA
Rfam family: Bacterial small subunit ribosomal RNA
Source: RNAcentral